AUUGAACGCUGGCGGCAUGCCUUACACAUGCAAGUCGAACGGUAACAGGUUAAGCUGACGAGUGGCGAACGGGUGAGUAAUACAUCGGAACGUGCCCAGUAGUGGGGGAUAGCCCGGCGAAAGCCGGAUUAAUACCGCAUACGACCUAAGGGUGAAAGGGGGGGAUCGCAAGACCUCUCGCUAUUGGAGCGGCCGAUGUCAGAUUAGCUAGUUGGUGGGGUAAAAGCUCACCAAGGCGACGAUCUGUAGCUGGUCUGAGAGGACGACCAGCCACACUGGGACUGAGACACGGCCCAGACUCCUACGGGAGGCAGCAGUGGGGAAUUUUGGACAAUGGGCGCAAGCCUGAUCCAGCCAUGCCGCGUGCGGGAAGAAGGCCUUCGGGUUGUAAACCGCUUUUGUCAGGGAAGAAAUCCUUUGGGUUAAUACCUCGGGGGGAUGACGGUACCUGAAGAAUAAGCACCGGCUAACUACGUGC
RNAcentral lists this ribosomal RNA (478 nucleotides) under uncultured bacterium. RNAcentral describes it as "partial 16S ribosomal RNA". It matches the Rfam family "Bacterial small subunit ribosomal RNA", at positions 30 to 508 of the family's 1533-position model. The record is from RNAcentral.